UUACUGAUAUGACGAGCUUGCUCUGAUUUGAUUUUAUCUGACAAAGAGUGGCGAACGGGUGAGUAACACGUGGGUAACCUACCUCUUAGCAGGGGAUAACAUUUGGAAACAAGUGCUAAUACCGUAUAAUACCAACAACCGCAUGGUUGUUGGUUGAAAGAUGGUUCUGCUAUCACUAAGAGAUGGACCCGCGGUGCAUUAGCUAGUUGGUAAGGUAACGGCUUACCAAGGCAAUGAUGCAUAGCCGAGUUGAGAGACUGAUCGGCCACAAUGGGACUGAGACACGGCCCAUACUCCUACGGGAGGCAGCAGUAGGGAAUCUUCCACAAUGGGCGCAAGCCUGAUGGAGCAACGCCGCGUGUGUGAUGAAGGGUUUCGGCUCGUAAAACACUGUUAUAAGAGAAGAACGGCACUGAGAGUAACUGUUCAGUGUGUGACGGUAUCUUACCAGAAAGGAACGGCUAAAUACGUGCCAGCAGCCGCGGUAAUACGUAUGUUCCAAGCGUUAUCCGGAUUUAUUGGGCGUAAAGCGAGCGCAGACGGUUAUUUAAGUCUGAAGUGAAAGCCCUCAGCUCAACUGAGGAAUGGCUUUGGAAACUGGAUGACUUGAGUGCAGUAGAGGAAAGUGGAACUCCAUGUGU
This 641-nucleotide ribosomal RNA is filed under the name Weissella paramesenteroides. RNAcentral describes it as "bacterial SSU rRNA". It matches the Rfam family "Bacterial small subunit ribosomal RNA", at positions 51 to 676 of the family's 1533-position model. Lineage: Bacteria; Bacillati; Bacillota; Bacilli; Lactobacillales; Lactobacillaceae. The record is from RNAcentral.